This 468-nucleotide ribosomal RNA is filed under the name uncultured bacterium. Its description in RNAcentral is "partial 16S ribosomal RNA". It matches the Rfam family "Bacterial small subunit ribosomal RNA", at positions 28 to 507 of the family's 1533-position model. The record is from RNAcentral.
GACGAACGCUGGCGGCGUGCUUAACACAUGCAAGUCGAACGGAAAGGCCCUGCUUUUGUGGGGUGCUCGAGUGGCGAACGGGUGAGUAACACGUGAGUAACCUGCCCUUGACUUUGGGAUAACUUCAGGAAACUGGGGCUAAUACCGGAUAGGAGCUCCUGCUGCAUGGUGGGGGUUGGAAAGUUUCGGCGGUUGGGGAUGGACUCGCGGCUUAUCAGCUUGUUGGUGGGGUAGUGGCUUACCAAGGCUUUGACGGGUAGCCGGCCUGAGAGGGUGACCGGCCACAUUGGGACUGAGAUACGGCCCAGACUCCUACGGGAGGCAGCAGGGGGGAAUAUUGCACAAUGGGCGGAAGACUGAUGCAGCAACGCCGCGUGCGGGAUGACGGCCUUCGGGUUGUAAACCGCUUUCGCCUGUGACGAAGCGUGAGUGACGGUAAUGGGUAAAGAAGCACCGGCUAACUACGUG